GUAUAUUUUACGGUAUAUUUUGAAAAUGAUAAAGUAUGUUUCGGAAUAUUUUCGAGGCCAUCACGGUAUAUUGUAUCGAUAAUUCCGCGGUCACACUGCAUUCUAGGCUGUCGUAAUUUUUGGAAUACACCCAGUUUUAAGACAAUCGAUUUAAUUUAAUAGUGUGUAAAUGGAAUACAAUUGUUUCAGAAGUGGUUUUAAAUGUAUUUUAACAUGUUCGAAAAUUCAAUGGAUAAAGUAGAUUUCAGAUGUACAUAUGAAUACAUACAUACAUAUGUAUCACAGGUGGUCUAACAUGUAAAACUUCAGCAUAUUUUGUGUUAUAUAUAUAAAAAGGUAAAAUAACCCACAACAAUUUGAUGACUAUCAUUCAACCUACAUCCAUACAUAUAUAUGUAUGUAAAAAAUAUAAGCAUUUAAGUUAUUUUAGUUAUUAAGAAACAAUUUCCGAACAUUGACAGCAAAUAAUUCAACUGUUACUCUAUAAAAAACAGUUUGGAUGUGGAUACUUCAGGACAUACAUACAUAUGUAUGUGUUCAACGUCUUUACAUACUUUGUAGUUAAAUAAUUUGGAAGUAGAAGUAGUUAUUUAAAUAGAUACCUAUGGUAUAAAGUCCACAGUCAACUAAAAAUUAUCUUAUACAAAAUAAAGAUACACUAACAGAUUUGAGCAAUACCACAAAUGCCUACAUGCAUAUGCAUCUACAUAUAUGUAAAUAUGUACAUAAAUAUGCAUGACUGCAUUUACACAUCGGUAUUCACAAAUUUAAGGACUCUAGUUUGCCCGAAAGUUUCUAUGAAAAUAGCUGUUACGUAACUACUGACUGCACACGGAUCUUUAAUAAAUAUUUUGAAAUUUUUUAAGUGUUGAUUUAUGAAAUUGAUUUGUUGUUAGAAACUCUGCUUACAAACAACUUACCAAAUUGCACCAUAUAUAUAUAUACUUUAUUGGUAUUUGUAAAUUAAUUGGCCUAUUCCAAGCAGGAAAGGUCCCUGUAUGCGCUGUUAACACUUAAACAGGGGUAAAAAUAAAUCCACACAAGAAGCGACGAUAAGAAUAUAAAUGUUUGCCACAUGUUAAUAAAACCCAGCAAACAAUUUGGUAGUACUCUCGCGUAUCUCCGAGAAGAGUCUUUUGGAAGUCGCUAGAUGAAUCUUUCACCGAUUCCCGGUGAUAGUUGAGCGAUAACAAGAUAAUGAAAGUAGGACAUGGUCCUAAUUGCGUUAGUUUCGUAAUUUAUAUAUCUACAUUUUUAUGUAUUAAGAAGCCCUCUUUUGGUAAACCUAAAUAAAUUUCAAAUUAAAAAAAAUGUUUUUGUAUUUAGGAGACUUUUCUGGGCGACGUUUUGUGAUGCUUUCAGGAGACUCUUCUACAUAUCUCAAACAUAUGAGUGACUCUUUGGCGACACUUUCGAAAGACUCCUCGGCGACUCUUCUGGAAGUGUCGCGGAAUUGGCUCACUUUCGCCCAACAGAAGAUCAGAAAAAGAGAAGAAAGCGAUAUCGCUGGCGAUCAAUUUAAUCUCCUUGGCGAGUCGCCUGAGACUCUUCCGCGAUAGAAAUGGUUUCCUUAAGGAAAGCCUAUCUGGUUUGAAUUAAAGUACUGGGCUUUGCGCUAUUCCACUUGUGGAUAUUAUAGCUUUAAAAAAAGAGAGCGUAGUUUGUUGGUUUAUACAUAUGAAUGUUCGACGACAAGAAUGAAUUGUUGAUUGAUUGUCUGUUGGAACGAUAGCUCCUUGAAUCUAAUUUAUCGAAUCAUCAAGGGAUCGAGCCUAUGAGCUGUAAAAAUCGAUGAGAUAGGAAGGCAGAAAAAUAAAGAAUAUACCAAUGCCACAGAUUCUACACGCCUACAAUAAGAUAAUGGGUGGUGUCGAUUUUUUUGGCAAUGCCUCAAAAAACUGUCGUGUUAGAGUGGGAAGCAAAAAGUAGCCGUUAUGCUUAACUGAUGGAAUUUCGACUGUGUUUUGAACUGAACGGGCAGAGAAUCGGAGAACUCCAAAAAUAUGCUGAUGCCACAACUACCUUCCCAUACAAUUGUGUCAAUAUACUUGUUGCGACAUGCAAGUCCGGCGAUAUCGAGGAUUUCACAUUCACCUAACAACAAUUUAAAAGAGAAGGGACAUGUCACAACUUUUAUACCCGGCACUCAGUACUACAUCUGCACCUUAGCGGUGUAGUCAUCUACAUCUACAACACUUGUCACACCCACACACUGCAGACUCGCGGCACAAAAAAAAACAAAUAUAAGCUGCGGGACGGGGUGGGUGGGUGGUGUGGGACGGACAGACAGACUUGGCUCAAUCGACUCGGCUAUUGAUGCUGAUCAAGAAUAUAUAUCCUAUAUGGGGUCGGAAACGUUUCCGUCUGUGUGUUACAUACAACCGUUAUUCGCACAAAUACAAUAUACCCUAUUUACUCUUCGAGUACCGGGUAUAAAAAAGCACUCAAUGAUAUAAGAGCAAACAGAACAUAUCAUGGCAUUCUAAAAACUGAAAAAUCAUUUCAUUGUCGCGUUUUUUAGGAGCAUGCUGUAAAUGCUUCAAAUACGAUGUUUCUGUGACUCUUAUAGACACUUUUAUAGACACAGGUUUCACUCGGUAACAGGGGGUAGCAGGAGUCACGGGUACAAAACUACGAAACUGGUUACUCACUGUGUAGAUACACGUUAUAUAUAUAAGUAACUUCUACAAUAUACGUAUGUAACUCUUAAGAACAUGUGUAUAUUAAACCGAAGGCCUCAUCUAUGUCUAUAACUAUUAUUAUUUCCUUUUCUAUGUAUUUAUUGAGGUCAUAGAAGACAUCGAAUCCAUUUAGACAUGGCAAAUACGAAGAGUUAAAGGGUAUAUUGCAUUUGUAGUCGGAGGAAAGUGCGUAACGCACUGUAACGUAUAUGUAUGUACAUACAUAUUGAUCAGUAUCAAUAGCCGAGUGGAUAUAGCCUUCUCUGUCCGUCCAUCCGCCCGUCUGUCUGUCCCUCUUGUUUGACGCAUAGAGACUACAAGAGCGAGUGUAAUCAAAUUUUGUGUUAAGGCUCAUGUGAUGUCACAUUGAAUCAAAAUUGCUUCUUAAUUUCGGCGCAGCCAUUUCAGCAGCUUUGCUUGGUCUUGCUCAUUCUCUCUCGCACGCACACUUUACUCGGAGAAGCUACACGGGCGUGACGUACGGACGUAUGGGUACGGACAAGGUUAACUACCCAGCCCUGGGGCGAGAUCUAGGGGCAACGUCGGCCCCGCUGACACCAAGCCAACUUGUAACACCCCUAUCGUCCAAUCAUCCAAGAAUUUGACGCACAUAAAAGCAUACGGUUUCAGAAAAAUAAAAGAUAAAAUAAAUAUGUUACUCACAUGUUACCCGGAUCUCACAGAAUUUAGGGAUAUUUUAUUUUUUGGGAUCCAAUUUGAUCCAUAUGCAUACAUACAGAAGGAAAAAUUGCCGACCAAAUUUAUUGCCAUGUUCUUUGCACCUGACCAACCUAACUUUCCCUGGCAAAAGAUAUUUCAAUGUACAUAGAUGACAGAUGUAGCGAAAAAAUUGAAACAAAAUGUUCUUAAAUCUGACUGACACGUUUUUAAUUAAUUCUAAGUUUACAAUAUUUUUUUUUACAGAUAUUACUUAUGAGGAAGAACAGCCUAUAGCUACCAAAAAUAUUUUAAAAACAUACGUUCUAAGAUUCAAAUUGUAAGGAAAUUUUAGAGCUUACAAUCGAAAUCAUAAGAAUAUUUAUUAUGAAGCCUACAUCAGGCGAAACGUUAAGAGCUUGGAUUUUUUCGGCUCUAAUGGUACAUGGAGCUGUUGCAGGCAAUCCAGAUGCAAAACGGCUUUAUGACGAUCUCUUGAGCAACUACAACAAAUUGGUCCGGCCUGUUGUUAACACCACAGAUGUUCUUAAAGUGUGCAUUAAAUUAAAACUUUCACAGCUUAUUGAUGUGGUGAGUACAAAGUAGCGUACACAUGAAGCUCUUGGUAUAUUUCGUUGCAUUCUACUAAAACUUAAAACAGAAAGGCUCUCUUGAGCUUUAUGCAUUUAGGCCGGCUUCUUCAUCUUUCAUCUACAUCAACAACAAUUCUCACGCCAACACGCUUCUUUAGCUCGCCACCCUCCCCUAGAGCCACACACUGCAGAGUCAAGGCAGAGACGCGGCGGGGUGGGUUUAGCCAUUGCAAAUUAAUUUCUUCAUUGUGGCCAUAACAAUGAUCCAAUCGGAUCCCAAUUGGUGAUCUGUUAGAUAUGGCCGACAAACAAGACGGACAGACAGACAUGGCUCUAUCGACUCGGCUAUUGAUGCUGAUCAAGAAUACAUAUACUUCAUUUUCCUUCUGUGCGUUACAUACAACCGUUAUUCCCCAGAAAUAGAAUAUACCCUAUUUACUCUUAGAGUACCGGGUAUAAAAAGCACACAGCCUCUUCGCAUGUUAGCCUUACGGAAUUUCUGACUGGAAGACUUAUUGGUGAAUCCAGACUGCUGCGGUAUCACAUUGAUAAAAGUGUAUAUUAAAAUUUCGCCCCGUCCCUUUUCGUCUCCAGAAAGGUGAAAAUCUGAUAUGGAGAUAUGGAGAAAAAUGUAGCCAUAAACUAUUUAAAAUUCGAUAAAAAUCAUAAUCAUACAUAUGUUAAUGUAUGUAUAUAUGUAUGUAUGUUUAUGAGUACCGGCUAUACAAGUAGAGGCGCGACGUUAUGCGGCCCCACAGCGCUUCGCCUAGUUUUGUAUAAUACUAUACAAAAUACAAGUGCAAUAUUAAAAGAGUUUUUCUUUACAAACAAUAUCAAGAAAAUCUAAUUAGGUGUCUGGGCGGCUGUACCUGAGUUCGAUUCGGUAAUAUUCUUACGACUCUUUUUAUACCCGGUACUCGAAGAGUAAAUAGGGUAUAUUGUAUUUGUGCGAAUAACAGUUGUAUGUAACGCACAGAAGGAAACGUUUCCGACCUCAUAAAGUAUAUAUAUUCUUGAGCAGCAUCAAUAGCCGCGUCGAUUGAGCCAUGUCUGUCUAUCCGUCCGUCUGUCCGAACAUCUUGUUGAGAGCCUCCCAAUCCCAAUUGGAUCAUUAUUAUGGCCACAAUGAAGAAAUUAAUUUUCAGUGGCUAAGCUCACCCCUUCCCGCAACUUUUAUUUGUUUUUUGCACAUUCUCUCAUUCACACUCUACUUCGCACAGUGUGCGGCCUCUGCCUCUGCAGUGUGUGAUUCUAGGGGAGGGGGCGAGCUAAAGGAGCGUGUUGGCGUGAGAAGUGAUGUAGAUGUAGAUGUGGAUGAAGAUGUAGAAAAAAGAUGUAAAAUGCAAAAUUUUAAAUUUGAAAUAAAACUGUUAAGGUACAGAUGUUCUACUGACUACCGGAUAUAAAAGUUGUGACGCUUAAAAAAGCGCCUCACACGUCCCUUCUCGUUUUUUCCAUCAUCGUUACAAUUUAUCUUACACCGUACAAUUUAUUUACGGCGGCGAAGCUGGUCGAAUUAACCAAGAGCUUUAUGGCGCUCCCGCAUCGCCCCAAUCUACUUUACUCUACAAUUUCAAACAAUAACAUAAAUAAAAAAACUUUUGGCAUAAAGCUACAACAAGCAAACGCACUUGAGCAAACAAAUAAAAACACCGAAUUUAAUCAUACAUUUCUUAAAUGUUUGUGUUGAUUAACGAAUUUUUUCAUUUUUACUUUAUAGAACUUAAAAAAUCAAAUUAUGACCACCAAUCUUUGGGUGGAGCAGGUAAGAUAACUAAUAAGCUGUCCUUUAUUAUACGCGAUUAUCGAAGAGUUACGCGGUAUAUUUGAUUUGUGGUGCGUAACGCACAGAAGGAACCGUUUCAGACCCUAUAAAAUAUACAUAUCUUGAUUAACAUCAAUAGUCGACUCGAUAAAGCCGUGUAUGUCUGCUCAUCAGUCUUGUUUGAAACCGUGUUCUCAGAGCCUAUAAGAGAUAGAGUCACCGAAUUGUGCGUAAAGACUCAUAUGACAUCACACAGAAUCAAGUUUUUUUUUCCAAAUCAAAGGUCUAAAAUAUGUCAUACAGAUAUAAAAAAUCCGAAAACGCAGCUUCAUGGAAAAGGGCCAUGUCUAUUGUAUCGCCGAAUUGGAGACAGAUGGGAUUAUUAUUAUUAUGGCCAGAAUGAAGACAUUAAUUUGGAGUUUCCACCCCCCAACACCUCCAGCAGCACGGACUAUGCUUGUGUCUUCACUAUUGCUCACAAACUGUGCCUCGCUGCUAAAAGGGCGUGUUGGUGUCAAAAGAGAUUUAAGUGUACAUAGGUGUAGCCAAAAUAUAGAAUUCGAAAAAAAACACAUGCUCAGGAAUUUAUGCCAACUGAGAACAGGGUAUAAAAGUUAAGUACCCUCGCGAAAAUUUAAUUUAUGCUCUGUCUUGUCUUAUUUCAUCGCUUAUUACUUUCACUUUAACCUUUUUAAAACAUUUUAAAUUUAUAGUCAUGGUACGAUUACAAACUUCGAUGGGAGCCUAAAGAGUAUGGAGGAGUGCAUAUGUUACAUGUACCAUCUGAUCAUAUUUGGAGACCAGAUAUCGUUCUCUAUAACAAGU
RNAcentral lists this long non-coding RNA (6521 nucleotides) under Drosophila guanche. The record is from RNAcentral. Lineage: Eukaryota; Metazoa; Arthropoda; Insecta; Diptera; Drosophilidae.